This 333-nucleotide ribosomal RNA is filed under the name Gammaproteobacteria bacterium. RNAcentral describes it as "partial 23S ribosomal RNA". It matches the Rfam family "Bacterial large subunit ribosomal RNA", at positions 2598 to 2925 of the family's 2925-position model. Lineage: Bacteria; Pseudomonadati; Pseudomonadota; Gammaproteobacteria. The record is from RNAcentral.
ACGCGAGCUGGGUUUAGAACGUCGUGAGACAGUUCGGUCCCUAUCUGCCGUGGGCGUUUGAGAUUUGAGAGGAGCUGCUCCUAGUACGAGAGGACCGGAGUGGACGUUCCUCUGGUGUUCCGGUUGUCACGCCAGUGGCACUGCCGGGUAGCUAUGAACGGACGGGAUAACCGCUGAAAGCAUCUAAGCGGGAAGCCCCCCUCAAGAUGAGAUCUCACUGGGUACUUGAUACCCCUAAAGGUCCGUCGAAGACUACGACGUUGAUAGGCUGGGUGUGGAAGUUCGGUAACGGAUGAAGCUAACCAGUACUAAUUGACCGUGAGGCUUGACCAU